CAAGUGUUGAGAUAGAGCUUUGCUCGUGUACCAAAUCUGGUAGGCUAGGCUGCCUUAGCGGAAAUGCUGGGGUGGUUCGUCUACGAAUUGCAAUCAUCAUAUGGGCGGGGGUGAAUCCUUUGCAGACGACUUGAAUGGGAACGGGGUACUGUAAGCGGUAGAGUAGCCUUGUUGCUACAAUCCGCUGAGGUUAAGCCCUUGUUCUAAAGAUUUGU
Molecule: ribosomal RNA, 215 nt
Filed under: Schizophyllum commune
Lineage: Eukaryota; Fungi; Basidiomycota; Agaricomycetes; Agaricales; Schizophyllaceae
Description: partial large subunit ribosomal RNA
Rfam family: Eukaryotic large subunit ribosomal RNA
Source: RNAcentral